RNAcentral lists this transfer RNA (72 nucleotides) under Candidatus Dojkabacteria bacterium. RNAcentral describes it as "tRNA-Lys". It matches the Rfam family "tRNA". Rfam says of the family: Transfer RNA (tRNA) molecules are approximately 80 nucleotides in length. Their secondary structure includes four short double-helical elements and three loops (D, anti-codon, and T loops). The record is from RNAcentral.
GGGUUGGUAGCUCAAUGGUAGAGCAAUGGCCUUUUAAGCCAGUGGUUGCGGGUUCGAGUCCCGCCCGACUCA